UCUGAGCUUUUGAACAGCGAUAAAUAGUCUACAUGCGGAUCUCGACAGUUAUAGUGUAAAAGGUAGCAACCAGGCUCCAGGGGGCCUGUUGAUUAUAUGUCCAGGGAAAGGUUCACAGAAGCACAUGCCUGCCCAUCUGCUAGCUGGACGCGCUCUGAGUCAAACAGGAAGCCUCUGCAGAGCGGAGUAAGGUCACCGAGGACGUGCCACAGGCUGGACCUCCAAACUCUACUAGAAAAUUAAACAAGCACACGGAAGCACAUUAGUGGCCAGAGAAGUUUGAAGUGGACUUAGUGUGGGAUAAACAUGAAGCUAUUUCUAGAUUUCUCACGAGAGAAUCACAGACACAUGCCACAUAACUGUAUUAGAACGUCCACCAUCUAAUCAGUUCUCCCAGUCAGGGAGCAUAGGGCACAAGGCCACUUCAGAUAUCAAGUCACACACUGGUCAUUUAGAGAAACCAGUAACCUAACUGUAAGUUAGGGUGAACAUGUGAAUGCUACACACACGCAGGAGAAGUGGGACUUGAACCCCCAGCCCUGAAGGUAUCAGAAUAACAUGCUAAACGCUGGGGCAGUGUGCCACCCUUUGGUGAAAGGAAUUCAUAUUUAUCAAGCAGUUUUUCUGUUUCUACACUGUGUGGCCACAUACUAAAGCAGUGUUUCCCAACCCAGUCCUUCGGGAUGUCCAGAUGGUCCACGUUUUUGCUGCCUCCCAGCUCCCUGCCAGACAGUCCCAAGAGGACCUGGCUGCAGAACACUGGGCAAUCUCCACUAGGAGAAACUCCACUGUGGGGCCGGAAGUCACAUGACCUCCACUCCUAGUUCCCAAUGUUACACUGACAUUAUAUGCAGCGCUAUUGCAGAGUCAUGACUUCGAGUUUCCUAGCGGCGGUUUAUCUUCUGUUAUAUAGAGAAUAAUAGGAUAUAAUCCAAGUGUAGAUAAUAAUAAUAUCCUGUCCUAUAGUAUAAUAAUAUAUUAUUAUAAUACAACAUUAAUAAUAAUAAUUAUUAU
Long non-coding RNA from Paramormyrops kingsleyae, 1014 nucleotides. RefSeq lists it as uncharacterized. NCBI's taxonomy places the organism in Eukaryota, Metazoa, Chordata, Actinopteri, Osteoglossiformes, Mormyridae. The record is from RefSeq and is a predicted model, not a curated record.